UAGGGAAUCUUCCGCAAUGGGCGAAAGCCUGACGGAGCAACGCCGCGUGAGUGAUGAAGGUCUUCGGAUCGUAAAACUCUGUUAUUAGGGAAGAACAAAUGUGUAAGUAACUAUGCACGUCUGACGGUACCUAAUCAGAAAGCCACGGCUAACUACGUGCCAGCAGCCGCGGUAAUACGUAGGUGGCAAGCGUUAUCCGGAAUUAUUGGGCGUAAAGCGCGCGUAGGCGGUUUUUUAAGUCUGAUGUGAAAGCCCACGGCUCAACCGUGGAGGGUCAUUGGAAACUGGAAAACUUGAGUGCAGAAGAGGAAAGUGGAAUUCCAUGUGUAGCGGUGAAAUGCGCAGAGAUAUGGAGGAACACCAGUGGCGAAGGCGACUUUCUGGUCUGUAACUGACGCUGAUGUGCGAAAGCGUGGGGAUCAAACAGG
RNAcentral lists this ribosomal RNA (428 nucleotides) under Acidobacteriota bacterium. RNAcentral describes it as "Acidobacteria bacterium partial 16S ribosomal RNA". It matches the Rfam family "Bacterial small subunit ribosomal RNA", at positions 355 to 776 of the family's 1533-position model. Lineage: Bacteria; Pseudomonadati; Acidobacteriota. The record is from RNAcentral.